UAAGGAAUAUUGGUCAAUGGACGCAAGUCUGAACCAGCCAUGCCGCGUGGAGGAUGAAGGUCCUCUGGAUUGUAAACUUCUUUUAUCUGGGACGAAACACUUCUUUUCUAAGAGGCCUGACGGUACCAGAUGAAAAAGCACCGGCUAACUACGUGCCAGCAGCCGCGGUAAUACGUAGGGUGCGAGCGUUAAUCGGAAUUACUGGGCGUAAAGGGUGCGCAGGCGGUCUUGCAAGUCAGAUGUGAAAGCCCCGGGCUUAACCUGGGAAUUGCGUUUGAAACUACAAGGCUAGAGUGCAGCAGAGGGGAGUGGAAUUCCAUGUGUAGCAGUGAAAUGCGUAGAGAUGUGGAAGAACACCGAUGGCGAAGGCAGCUCCCUGGGUUGACACUGACGCUCAUGCACGAAAGCGUGGGGAGCAAACA
This 422-nucleotide ribosomal RNA is filed under the name uncultured bacterium. Its description in RNAcentral is "bacterial SSU rRNA". It matches the Rfam family "Bacterial small subunit ribosomal RNA", at positions 355 to 774 of the family's 1533-position model. The record is from RNAcentral.